CCUACGGGAGGCAGCAGUCGAGAAUCAUUCACAAUGGGGGCAACCCUGAUGGUGCGACGCCGCGUGGGGGAAUGAAGGCCUUCGGAUUGUAAACCCCUGUCAUGUGGGAGCAAAUUAAAAAGAUAGUACCACAAGAGGAAGAGACGGCUAACUCUGUGCCAGCAGCCGCGGUAAUACAGAGGUCGCAAGCGUUGUUCGGAAUCACUGGGCGUAAGGCGUGCGUAGGCUGUUUCGUAAGUCGUGUGUGAAAGGCGCGGGCUUAACCCGCGGACGGCACAUGAUACUGCGAGACUAGAGUAUUGGAGAGGGAACCGGAAUUCUCGGUGUAGCAGUGAAAUGCGUAGAUAUCGAGAAGAACACUCAUGGCGAAGGCGGGUUCCUGGACAUUAACUGACGCUGAGGCACGAAGGCCAGGGGAGCGAAAGGGAUUAGAUACCCUAGUAGUC
RNAcentral lists this ribosomal RNA (446 nucleotides) under uncultured bacterium. RNAcentral's name for it is "partial 16S ribosomal RNA". It matches the Rfam family "Bacterial small subunit ribosomal RNA", at positions 338 to 795 of the family's 1533-position model. The record is from RNAcentral.